AUUGAACGCUGGCGGCAGGCCUAACACAUGCAAGUCGAACGGUAACAGGAAGCAGCUUGCUGCUUUGCUGACGAGUGGCGGACGGGUGAGUAAUGUCUGGGAAACUGCCUGAUUGAGGGGGAUAACUACUGGAAACGGUAGCUAAUACCGCAUAACGUCGCAAGACCAAAGAGGGGGACCUUAGGGCCUCUUGCCAUCGGAUGUGCCCAGAUGGGAUUAGCUAGUAGGUGGGGUAACGGCUCACCUAGGCGACGAUCCCUAGCUGGUCUGAGAGGAUGACCAGCCACACUGGAACUGAGACACGGUCCAGACUCCUACGGGAGGCAGCAGUGGGGAAUAUUGCACAAUGGGCGCAAGCCUGAUGCAGCCAUGCCGCGUGUAUGAAGAAGGCCUUCGGGUUGUAAAGUACUUUCAGCGGGGAGGAAGGGAGUAAAGUUAAUACCUUUGCUCAUUGACGUUACCCGCAGAAGAAGCACCGGCUAACUCCGUG
Molecule: ribosomal RNA, 490 nt
Filed under: uncultured bacterium
Lineage: Bacteria
Description: partial 16S ribosomal RNA
Rfam family: Bacterial small subunit ribosomal RNA
Source: RNAcentral